AAUAUGGCAGACAAGUGCUAUGAAUUUAAGCUUCAUCUAUAAAGAUUAACCUUUUAUU
RNAcentral lists this transfer RNA (58 nucleotides) under Lepinotus reticulatus. RNAcentral's name for it is "tRNA-Leu". The record is from RNAcentral. Lineage: Eukaryota; Metazoa; Arthropoda; Insecta; Psocodea; Trogiidae.